GACGAACGCUGGCGGCGUGCCUAAUACAUGCAAGUAGAACGCACAGUUUAUACCGUAGCUUGCUACACCAUAGACUGUGAGUUGCGAACGGGUGAGUAACGCGUAGGUAACCUGCCUGGUAGCGGGGGAUAACUAUUGGAAACGAUAGCUAAUACCGCAUAAUAUUAAUUAUUGCAUGAUAAUUAAUUGAAAGGUGCAAUUGCACCACUACCAGAUGGACCUGCGUUGUAUUAGCUAGUAGGUGAGGUAACGGCUCACCUAGGCGACGAUACAUAGCCGACCUGAGAGGGGGAUCGGCACCACUGGGACUGAGACACGGCCCAGACUCCUACGGGAGGCAGCAGUAGGGAAUCUUCGGCAAUGGACGAAAGUCUGACCGAGCAACGCCGCGUGAGUGAAGAAGGUUUUCGGAUCGUAAAGCUCUGUUGUAAGAGAAGAACGGGUGUGAGAGUGGAAAGUUCACACUGUGACGGUAUCUUACCAGAAAGGGACGGCUAACUACGUG
RNAcentral lists this ribosomal RNA (505 nucleotides) under uncultured bacterium. Its description in RNAcentral is "partial 16S ribosomal RNA". It matches the Rfam family "Bacterial small subunit ribosomal RNA", at positions 28 to 507 of the family's 1533-position model. The record is from RNAcentral.